This is a long non-coding RNA of Scleropages formosus (Asian bonytongue), 830 nucleotides long. RefSeq lists it as uncharacterized. The transcript is spliced from 4 exons. NCBI's taxonomy places the organism in Eukaryota, Metazoa, Chordata, Actinopteri, Osteoglossiformes, Osteoglossidae. The record is from RefSeq and is a predicted model, not a curated record.
CAGCAGCGACCCGGGGCACCAUCUGUGGCCCGGAGCCUGAACCCCUACACAUCCUCCCUGGCGUCCGAGUCAUAAACGUCUCGGUGCCAUUGUCUGGGAUCUCAUUGUGGACAUUGUUUCUCAGGGUCCACCCGCCACUGGCCAAUAAGUUGGACAUGCUCCCCCUCUGAGGAGCAGUCUGACAUUCCAGCCAUUUGCAGUCAGCUGUCCGAUAGGACGAAGAGGCCAGUGAGCUGCUGCAGUCAGUGGCAAAACUAAAUAAAGCAAUAAGGAGGAGGGCAGGGCAGUGUCUGUGCCCACUUCGAGGGCUGAUGGCCCCGAGCCCAUGGGGCAGAAGACCUUGUGGAUACGCUUCCUACGGCUGGAAUGCCCCCCAUCAGCCUUUCAGCAGGAGACCCCCUCCCCCUCUUCAUUACUGGCCUGCAACACUUUCCCAUGAAGUGCAGUAACAACCAAUAACCCAGUUGUUACUUGAAAAGGGACACAUCCCAGUGAAGGAGGAAUGAACACUAACACGUGUGCGCAGCGAGCGAGCCACCCAUCUUCCUCUCGUACACGCGGAAGGCUUCGCAAGAAGAAGGGAACCCAGGCCAACUCCCCCACUGUCCAAACAUUCAACUUGAAAAUGUUGCCUUCAACAGCUGUAGAGAUCCUUCGAGGAGUUCUCCAGAACCUCGCCCUUGUCUCAAACCUGACGGUUACGGGAGGAAAAAGAGCAACGGAUUCAAAUGGCCCUGCAACUGCCUGAACGGAGCAGCAUGGCUGAGAUUCGAAGCGGUUGUAGACGUUGUGUGGAGCCUGCAUGGAGUCCCCCUGUCCAUCCCAUCCAG